This 1508-nucleotide ribosomal RNA is filed under the name Helicobacter pylori. RNAcentral's name for it is "bacterial SSU rRNA". It matches the Rfam family "Bacterial small subunit ribosomal RNA". Lineage: Bacteria; Pseudomonadati; Campylobacterota; Epsilonproteobacteria; Campylobacterales; Helicobacteraceae. The record is from RNAcentral.
UUUAUGGAGAGUUUGAUCCUGGCUCAGAGUGAACGCUGGCGGCGUGCCUAAUACAUGCAAGUCGAACGAUGAAGCUUCUAGCUUGCUAGAAGUGGAUUAGUGGCGCACGGGUGAGUAACGCAUAGGUCAUGUGCCUCUUAGUUUGGGAUAGCCAUUGGAAACGAUGAUUAAUACCAGAUACUCCCUACGGGGGAAAGAUUUAUCGCUAAGAGAUCAGCCUAUGUCCUAUCAGCUUGUUGGUAAGGUAAUGGCUUACCAAGGCUAUGACGGGUAUCCGGCCUGAGAGGGUGAACGGACACACUGGAACUGAGACACGGUCCAGACUCCUACGGGAGGCAGCAGUAGGGAAUAUUGCUCAAUGGGGGAAACCCUGAAGCAGCAACGCCGCGUGGAGGAUGAAGGUUUUAGGAUUGUAAACUCCUUUUGUUAGAGAAGAUAAUGACGGUAUCUAACGAAUAAGCACCGGCUAACUCCGUGCCAGCAGCCGCGGUAAUACGGAGGGUGCAAGCGUUACUCGGAAUCACUGGGCGUAAAGAGCGCGUAGGCGGGAUAGUCAGUCAGGUGUGAAAUCCUAUGGCUUAACCAUAGAACUGCAUUUGAAACUACUAUUCUAGAGUGUGGGAGAGGUAGGUGGAAUUCUUGGUGUAGGGGUAAAAUCCGUAGAGAUCAAGAGGAAUACUCAUUGCGAAGGCGACCUGCUGGAACAUUACUGACGCUGAUUGCGCGAAAGCGUGGGGAGCAAACAGGAUUAGAUACCCUGGUAGUCCACGCCCUAAACGAUGGAUGCUAGUUGUUGGAGGGCUUAGUCUCUCCAGUAAUGCAGCUAACGCAUUAAGCAUCCCGCCUGGGGAGUACGGUCGCAAGAUUAAAACUCAAAGGAAUAGACGGGGACCCGCACAAGCGGUGGAGCAUGUGGUUUAAUUCGAAGAUACACGAAGAACCUUACCUAGGCUUGACAUUGAGAGAAUCCGCUAGAAAUAGUGGAGUGUCUAGCUUGCUAGACCUUGAAAACAGGUGCUGCACGGCUGUCGUCAGCUCGUGUCGUGAGAUGUUGGGUUAAGUCCCGCAACGAGCGCAACCCCCUUUCUUAGUUGCUAACAGGUUAUGCUGAGAACUCUAAGGAUACUGCCUCCGUAAGGAGGAGGAAGGUGGGGACGACGUCAAGUCAUCAUGGCCCUUACGCCUAGGGCUACACACGUGCUACAAUGGGGUGCACAAAGAGAAGCAAUACUGCGAAGUGGAGCCAAUCUUCAAAACGCCUCUCAGUUCGGAUUGUAGGCUGCAACUCGCCUGCAUGAAGCUGGAAUCGCUAGUAAUCGCAAAUCAGCCAUGUUGCGGUGAAUACGUUCCCGGGUCUUGUACUCACCGCCCGUCACACCAUGGGAGUUGUGUUUGCCUUAAGUCAGGAUGCUAAAUUGGCUACUGCCCACGGCACACACAGCGACUGGGGUGAAGUCGUAACAAGGUAACCGUAGGUGAACCUGCGGUUGGAUCACCUCCUUUCUAGA